This 592-nucleotide ribosomal RNA is filed under the name uncultured bacterium. Its description in RNAcentral is "bacterial SSU rRNA". It matches the Rfam family "Bacterial small subunit ribosomal RNA", at positions 335 to 919 of the family's 1533-position model. The record is from RNAcentral.
AUUCCUACGGGAGGCAGCAGUGGGGAAUAUUGGACAAUGGGGGAAACCCUGAUCCAGCCAUGCCGCGUGUGUGAAGAAGGCCUUUUGGUUGUAAAGCACUUUAAGCAGUGAAGAAGACUCCGUGGUUAAUACCCAUGGACGAUGACAUUAGCUGCAGAAUAAGCACCGGCUAACUCUGUGCCAGCAGCCGCGGUAAUACAGAGGGUGCAAGCGUUAAUCGGAAUUACUGGGCGUAAAGGGAGCGUAGGUGGCUCGAUAAGUCAGAUGUGAAAUCCCCGGGCUCAACCUGGGAACUGCAUCUGAUACUGUUGAGCUAGAGUAUGUGAGAGGAAGGUAGAAUUCCAGGUGUAGCGGUGAAAUGCGUAGAGAUCUGGAGGAAUACCGAUGGCGAAGGCAGCCUUCUGGCAUAAUACUGACACUGAGGCUCGAAAGCGUGGGUAGCAAACAGGAUUAGAUACCCUGGUAGUCCACGCCGUAAACGAUGUCUACUAGUCGUUGGGUCCCUUGAGGACUUAGUGACGCAGCUAACGCAAUAAGUAGACCGCCUGGGGAGUACGGCCGCAAGGUUAAAACUCAAAGGAAUUGACGGAAU